UUUGGGUUUCCACGAACGGUGCUCCAUUGACUUAGGUUUCUCCCUCGGGGGUUACCAAUGUCAUGCUUUCUGGCAUUUGAUCUCGGGGUAACACGUCGUUGGAAAGUUUCAGGGGCAUUCUGCCAACAUCCAUCACCCCACUCUAAGGCUUCUCCAUAAGUGGAUUGCUAGUUCGUUCUUUUCAAGUUGAUCCCCAUGCUGCUAAUACCAUUAUUUACAUCACUACUCCUCGCAUCAUGAUUAAUGAAUCACAUCUUUUGCAUGCACAUAUGAUUAAACGCGACGGAAUAGGUAAAAAGAUUUUAUAUUAUUUUCCGGAUAUACAAACGAGAUCCAGUUACCUAACUUGGAUCUCGCUCUGUAUAAUUCCCCAUUGUUGGGUAUUUUAAACGCAAACAAAAAAAAUCCGCAAGCGCACGGACCAGUUGUUGCAAAAGUACAAUGUUGAGGAAGAUCCGACAGAUCCGGCUCCUCCUCCGCUCUUCUCUUCUCUCUCCCUAUUUUCUAGAUUACAACUAGAACUAACUAGAACUAGAACUAGAUGAACUAGAUGAACUAGAACUAGAACUAGAUGAACUAGAGGGAUCCUCUCUACUUGGAUGAAUAAUUGAAACCCUAGCUUUGAUUUUGUAGAAUAGAUAUCUCCUCCAGGGGCUAGGGGGCUUGCUUAUAUACCCCCUCCAAAUGAAUGUGGGCCGUCGCAUCAAACCGACCUUAAUCCCAUGGUUAUUCUUGAAGAUUAGAGGCGGUGGAGCAUGAUCUGCGAGGUGGGGCCUGAUUGGCCGAGAUACCUGGGCGGGCGCCUAAGGGGGAGGGCGGGCGCACAGUCCCCGGGCCUGCUCGGCCUCCCGUUCGUUCCCGUGGCUUCUGGAGUCUUCUAGAUGAUAGAAAAUUGCCGCACACGUUAAUAUCUCUAUGUAAACCCGACGUGUGGGCCUUUCCUCCAUGUUUCCUGAUAAACCCCUGCAGAAAUAGACAAACACCAAAACUCGUGGAAUUCUGUCAGAUGAAACCCUAAUUUUGGAUGUUAGUUGCAUAUAGGUCCUUUUCCAUGAUUAGUUGACGGUUAAAUGUGAGCAUUAAGGACCAUCAACAAGCUCCCCCAAGCUUAACCUUUGCUCGUCCCUGAGCAAAGCUAAAAUCAGCAAGAAAACAAGGGUUACUUUUAUGCCUCUUACUAUAGGGUUUUUAAGUUAUCACUAAGGUCUUAAGUGAUUGAAAAAUAGAACGAUCAAUUCAAGCACUAUGUCUCAAGUUCUUCUGUCUUACCUUUGUUAUGGAGUUUUUUGUAAGUUUCCAAAAUAAAACUGAGGCAUUUGCCUUCUUCUCGAAAGAUAUAUAAGUAGAGCUUUAAAAGUUUUAGCAUACUUGCUUUGCAUUUUGCUAUGUCAAUGCUCGAAGCAAGGGAGAGGAAUGUCAUACUCCUAGAUCAAGACCUUUUACCUUUUUUGAAAAGUUUGUCAUCUCUUACUGGGCAUAUUGCUUAUUAGAGGGACCAUGGGCUAUCAUUUUUUCUUUCUUUUUUUUCAGUCUCUCUCUUUUUUUCUUUUUUCUUUUUUUUCAAGUGGACACCAAGUACCCCUAAUUCUACUAUCGGACACAUGUCCAUUUUUUCCACUCAGGUGGGUAUCUUUGUACCCCUAAUUCUACUUCGGACACUUGUCUAUUUUUACCUCUCGUCUCACUCUUUUUUUUCGAAUCAAAUUUUUGCAUAGCCCCAUGCCUCUAAUGCAAUAAUACUUCGGAAGAGUGAAUCUUUUAUAUUUUUAAAACAAAAAGAUCUUGAUCUUUGGAGCAUGAUAAUUCUCUCAACCAAAACUACAAGAAUUAACAAUGGCUUGAACAAAGCAAGUGCCCACAGUUUUAUAUUUAGCCCACAGUUUUAUAUUUAUAUCUUAUAAGACUCUAGGUAUUAUGUCAAAAGAUAAAAUCAUUUUUUUUUGAAUUUUUAGAUUUUCAAAAGAUAAAAUCUCCAGAACUCUAGCGAAACUUGGAACAAGUUAAAUAGUAGCUCAGACCUUCUCAUAUCAUGUUUGUCAAUUACCUAGACUUGGAUCAAACUUUCUUUUUAUUUUAUUUAAAACUUAGGAUUACACAAAACUAUUGUAUAUUACUCAAAAGAAAAACUUUGUUUGGUUUCAUGGUUAUGCAUUUUUUUAUUUCCGAAUACUAGUAAAUAAAACCAAGAAAGAAAAGUAAUACUUAUCUAGAUACACGUGGGGGUGCCUCCCCCAAGCUGGAUGUUGACAUAGUCGUUCACUCUUGUGGCCUGCAUGUUCGGUCUCACUCUUCUUAAGCCUCAAAAUCCUGCACAACCCAAAUAGACAACAAAACUCGUGGAGCAUGUUAAGGGUUAGGUAAUUGUCUAGAGCUUAUGAGAGCUUAAUGUGAGAAUUCUAUGAACUCAAUCACAUCAAGUUCCUCUACUAGGUUGUUUUGUGGCUCGAGCUAGAUUUUCAAGCGUUGACCAUUUACCUUAAAAGUGUUACCUAUGUCGUCUUGGAUGGUAAUGGCUCCAUGAGUUGAAGUGUCAAUAACCUUGUAUGGUCCAUCCAACUUACUUCAUAGCUUACCAUGCCCAAAGAGCUUAACUCUUGAAUUGAAUAGUAGAACCUUAUCUCCAGGCUUAAACUCCUUGUGCUUGAUUCUCUUAUCAUGCCAUCGUUUUGUUCUCUCUUUAUAGAUUCUUGAAUUGUGGUAGGCUUUCUCUCUCCAUUCUUCUAGGUCAGAUAGUUGCAUCAGAGGAUUCUCGCUAGCGAGGUGGAGAUCCAUGUUCCAUUUCUUGUAACACCAAAAAAUUUACAAAUUUUGAAAUAGGUGAAAAAUGAUUUAAUUUUGUAUUUUUUGUGCUCACGAAACAUAGGAAAAUAAUAAUUUUCAUUUAAUUAAAAAAUUUAUCAUAGGUUUGGCAACAUGGUUGUGCAUUCAUAUUGGAGCUUAUGUUUCAUUCAAUGUGUGGUUUUGAGCAAAGACAAAAUAUUUCAAAUAGAUUUUUAAAAUGGAUUGGAAAUGGCUUUGGAAUAAAAUAAAGAAAAAACGUUAACCCUCAUCUCUCCUUGGUUUUCGGUCUGA
Molecule: long non-coding RNA, 3072 nt
Filed under: Sorghum bicolor (sorghum)
Lineage: Eukaryota; Viridiplantae; Streptophyta; Magnoliopsida; Poales; Poaceae
Description: long non-coding RNA (SBIC_LNC017886)
Source: RNAcentral